Salpingoeca sp. is the source of this 2109-nucleotide ribosomal RNA. It matches the Rfam family "Eukaryotic small subunit ribosomal RNA". Lineage: Eukaryota; Choanoflagellata; Craspedida; Salpingoecidae. The record is from Rfam.
UAACUGGUCGAUCCUGCCAGUAGUCAUAUGCUUGUCUCAAAGAUUAAGCCAUGCAUGUCUAAGUAUGAAUAGUAUUCUUGAUACUGUGAAACUGCGAAUGGCUCAUUAAAUCAGUUAUAGUUUAUUUGAUAGUUUGCAACUCGUUUUUCGGAGCGGUGUUGUGCUAGACGGAUAGCCGUGGUAAUUCUAGAGCUAAUACGUGCGACAAGGCCCGAGAGAGGGGUGUGUGUAUGCGCAUUUUUUCUUCUCGAGGGCUGCAUUUGUUAGGUAUAAAGCCAGCAGGAACAUGACUGGUGAAUCAGAAUAACUUUGCUGACCGUUACACUUUUGUGUGUGAUGGUGUCUCAUUCGAAUUUCUGCCCUAUCAACUUUCGAUGGUAAGGUAUUGGCUUACCAUGGUGACAACGGGUGACGGGGAACAUUUGGUUCGAUUCCGGAGAGGGAGCCUGAGAGACGGCUACCACUUCCAAGGAAGGCAGCAGGCGCGCAAAUUACCCAAUCCUGACACAGGGAGGUAGUGACAAUAAAUACCAAUGCACGGUGUUUUUUAUGCACUGUGCAAUUGGAAUGAGAACAAUGUAAAGACCUUAUCAAGGAACAAUUGGAGGGCAAGUCUGGUGCCAGCAGCCGCGGUAAUUCCAGCUCCAAAAGCGUAUACUAAAGUUGUUGCAGUUAAAAAGCUCGUAGUUGGAUUUCAUGCGGGGUUCACGGUGUGUGGGUGGGGGUGAGACACUGUUUCACGCGCGCCUUCUUCUGCCCCGCACUGUUUGGACUCUGCAGUUUUAAUAUUCCCUGGUGGCGCCUUUGGCGCGUGCCCUUGAUUGGGUGUGUGUCAAGUCACGUAGUGGUGGGGCGCUGUUGGGGGCUUUACUUUGAAAAAAUUAGAGUGUCAAAGCAGGCAGUCAUUUGAUUUGCUUGAAUAGAUUAGCAUGGAACAACGGAAGAGGACUUUUGGGCCUGUACUGUUGGCGUGUGGUGCGGGGUGUGUGGAAGAAGAAACCGCAAGGUUUUCUUAUUCCUCCCUCACCACAUCGGGUCUGAAGUAAUGAUUAAUAGGGACGGUUGGGGGCACUGGUAUUUCGUUGUCAGAGGUGAAAUUCUUGGAUUUACGAAAGACCGCCGACUGCGAAAGCAUUUGCCAAGGACGCUUUCAUUGAUCAAGAACGAAAGUUAGGGGAUCGAAGACGAUUAGAUACCGUCGUAGUCUUAACCAUAAACGAUGCCGGCCAGGGCUCGGUGGGCAGCACAAAUGUUUCAACGCAUGGUGGCGCCAUCGGGACCUUUAGGGAAACCAAAGCGUUUGGGUUCCGGGGGGAGUAUGAUCGCAAGAUUGAAACUUAAAGGAAUUGACGGAAGGGCACCACCAGGAGUGGAGCCUGCGGCUUAAUUUGACUCAACACGGGGAAACUCACCAGGUCCAGACAUGGGAAGGAUUGACAGAUUGACAGCUCUUUCUUGAUUCCAAGGGAGGUGGUGCAUGGCCGUCCAGCUUUUGUUGUGAAAUCUCUGUUUGAUUACGGUAAACGGCGAGACCUUGACUUGCUGAUUGGUGUGCGCCUGCGUUAGCAGGCGUUGGAGAUUACGCGCAAGCGUGUCUUUUGAUACACCACUCAGAGGGACACUCGGCGUUGCUAUUGAGCGUAAGCCGAAGGAAGUUUGAGGCGAUAACAGGUCUGUGAUGCCCUUAGAUGUUCUGGGCUGCACGCGCGCUACACUGACGGGGGCAGCGAGUAUGCUUUGGGUGUUUGUGGUGGGGAAAGUCUUGUGCUUUUCUGCAUUCACAAACAUCUAUUCCUGCGCUGGAAGGCGUGGGGACUCUUGUGAAAACCCGUCGUGCUGGGGAUAGAUGCUUGCAAUUAUUCAUCUUGAACGAGGAAUUCCUAGUAAGCGCAAUUCAACAGAUUGCGUUGAUUACGUCCCUGCCCUUUGUACACACCGCCCGUCGCUACUACCGAUUGAAUGGUUUAGUGAGGCCUCGGGAUUGGCGCGUGGGCGCUGGCAACAGCUGCCCAUGUGUUUCUUUGCUGAGAACCUGGUCAAACUUGAUCAUUUAGAGGAAGUAAAAGUCGUAACAAGGUUUCCGUAGGUGAACCUGCGGAAGGAUCAUUC